Non-coding RNA from Podarcis lilfordi (Lilford's wall lizard), 78 nucleotides. The record is from the annotation of a GenBank genome assembly. Lineage: Eukaryota; Metazoa; Chordata; Lepidosauria; Squamata; Lacertidae.
UAUACAUACAUACAUACAUACAUACAUACAUAUACAUAUGAGUGUGUGUGUGUGUGUGUGUGUGUGUGUGUGUGUGUG